RNAcentral lists this ribosomal RNA (492 nucleotides) under uncultured bacterium. RNAcentral describes it as "partial 16S ribosomal RNA". It matches the Rfam family "Bacterial small subunit ribosomal RNA", at positions 29 to 507 of the family's 1533-position model. The record is from RNAcentral.
AGUGAACGCUGGCGGUAGGCCUAACACAUGCAAGUCGAACGGCAGCACAGUAAGAGCUUGCUCUUACGGGUGGCGAGUGGCGGACGGGUGAGGAAUACAUCGGAAUCUACUUUUUCGUGGGGGAUAACGUAGGGAAACUUACGCUAAUACCGCAUGCGACCUACGGGUGAAAGCAGGGGAUCUUCGGACCUUGCGCGAUUGAAUGAGCCGAUGUCGGAUUAGCUAGUUGGCGGGGUAAAGGCCCACCAAGGCGACGCUCCGUAGCUGGUCUGAGAGGAUGAUCAGCCACACUGGAACUGAGACACGGUCCAGACUCCUACGGGAGGCAGCAGUGGGGAAUAUUGGACAAUGGGCGCAAGCCUGAUCCAGCCAUACCGCGUGGGUGAAGAAGGCCUUCGGGUUGUAAAGCCCUUUUGUUGGGAAAGAAAAGCAGCAGGUUAAUACCCCGCUGUUCUGACGGUACCCAAAGAAUAAGCACCGGCUAACUUCGUG